GUAUGCCUGUCCCUCCGCAGGUGUGGCGGCGCCUCGGACGCUCCUACUGAAACACACCUGAGGCACUGCUGACAAUAAAACUGUACAACGCAGCCUGCCUGUACUGCCCAUCACGGAGGAAGAGGGUCAGAAGAAGAAGAAGAAGAAGAAGAAGAAGAAGAAGAAGAAGAAGAAGAAGAAGAAGAAGCAACAACAACAAACAGCAACAACAACAACAACAACAGCAAGAAAAGAGAAAGAAGAAACAAUACCACCACCACUACCAGAGACAAUAACCUCAAUGUAAAGGAAUACAAAGGAAGAACAAGCCGUAGCAGACUUGUUGAGCCACAACACUGAGGGCAGGCUGGCUGAAGCAAGAGCCUCGAGUGUCGUGGUGCUCAUGGCGGGGAACAUUGCGGCAGUUUAUGGCUCGACACUUGCAACACCCGCCGCUGCUGCGAGUUUUAUCCCGCUCCCAAUGGCGCUGCUGGCAAUGCUACACUUGCUGCACCCCUGGCUGUGUCCAGCACACUCACCUGUCUGAGUUACGGUGUAGCAAGUGUCACAGUCGACAGUGAACAUCCCACACUGGACGGCAUCCAAGUGCAUGAUUCGCUUGUGUAGCUUCUCCGUCUCCAGGCAGCCAGAGCGCGACGAGUCAGGGAAGAUCUGUAACCUGGGAGAGAGAGAGAGAGAAAUAAAGUGAAAAGGUG
Long non-coding RNA from Scylla paramamosain (green mud crab), 695 nucleotides. RefSeq lists it as uncharacterized. Lineage: Eukaryota; Metazoa; Arthropoda; Malacostraca; Decapoda; Portunidae. The transcript is spliced from 4 exons. The record is from RefSeq and is a predicted model, not a curated record.